UAAUCCUCAAUGCUGAGGGUCGCAGCCC
RNAcentral lists this small RNA (28 nucleotides) under Bombyx mori (domestic silkworm). RNAcentral describes it as "ovarian small RNA-19648". Lineage: Eukaryota; Metazoa; Arthropoda; Insecta; Lepidoptera; Bombycidae. The record is from RNAcentral.